Pan troglodytes (chimpanzee) is the source of this 212-nucleotide long non-coding RNA. RefSeq lists it as uncharacterized. The record is from RefSeq and is a predicted model, not a curated record. Lineage: Eukaryota; Metazoa; Chordata; Mammalia; Primates; Hominidae. The transcript is spliced from 2 exons.
CGGGCCCCCUGCAGGGGCAGCAGGGGCAACCCCAGACACAUUUCCAGACGAUGAUCCACCACCUUCAGCCCCUUGGAGAGAAAGCACCUUAGAAAAGGAGCAAGAUUUUAUGUGGAACCAUGUAACAGCACAACGACGCUGCAGCCUAAGACGCCCUGUCCACAAUGGAGACAGAGAUCCCUUCCCUCUGCAAAAUGAAGCCUCACGUCACA